CACGGCCGGCAGCCGGCAGUCUGACUGGCACCGUCGUCGCGGACGAACCGUUUACUACCGUUCACGCGCAACCGUUAUCCGUUCCUGUUCCGCACUCCUGUCGUACACUCCGCCGUUCGUCGCCACCGACCGAUAUCGUCAUGUCUUACUACGCGACUAGAUGCACUCCCACGGUACGCCCGGCCGAGGAUUUCGACGCCAACGCCGACGCCACUGUUCUCAGAACCGCCAUGAAAGGAUUCGGUACGGAUGAACAAGCCAUCAUUGACGUGUUGGCCAGACGAUCCAACUCUCAGAGGCAGGAGAUCAAAGAAGCGUUUAAAACGCUCUACGGAAAGGACUUGAUCGACGAUUUAAAAAGCGAACUCGGCGGGAACUUCGAGAACGCCAUCGUCGCUCUGAUGACCCCGCUACCGGAGUUCUACGCCAAGGAGCUGCACGACGCCAUCAGCGGCGUGGGCACCGACGAGGAGGCCAUAGCCGAGAUCUUGGGCACGCUCAGCAAUUACGGCGUCCGCACCAUUUCCUCCGUCUACGAAAACCUGUACGGAAACUCGUUGGAAGACGAUCUGAAAUCCGACACUUCGGGAUCCUUCCAAAGACUGCUGGUGUCGUUGUGUUGUGCCAACCGCGAGGAAGACGUGGAAGUCGAUCGCAGUGCCGCAGUCGCUGACGCUCAGGCUUUGAUCGAUGCUGGCGAAGCUCAAUGGGGCACAGACGAGUCGACUUUCAACUCGAUCCUGGCCACUCGUUCCUAUCCGCAGCUGAGAGCCAUUUUCGAAGAGUACGAAAACCUCUCCGGCAAGGAUAUAGAAGAAACCAUCAAGAACGAGACUUCCGGCUCUUUGGAACAUGGUUUUCUUACAAUCGUGAAAAGCGCUAAGAAGAAGAGCGACUACUACGCCAAUCAGCUGGAAGCUUCCAUGGCAGGAAUGGGCACCAACGACCGUCAGUUGAUCAGAAUCAUCGUGGGCAGAUCCGAGAUCGAUUUGGGUGACAUUAAACAGUCUUACGAGAACAUUUACGGUACACCGUUGGUAGACCGAAUCUCCGGCGACACCUCUGGGGAUUACAAGCGUCUGUUAUUGGCCCUCGUGCGCUAGUAGAGCUUUGAAAUGCAUGAGGAAAGGGCACGUCGAUAUUCUUGCUUGUACCAACUUUUCAUACUUCAUAGCGAUUGUGGUUCAGAUUUCAAAAAUUUGCUUAUCACACUAGUAUUGCAAUAAGAUAUUUAAAAAGCUUAUUCAUUCCACGGUCGUCGUGAACGUGCACCGAUUACUCUACCACCACUACUAGACUAAUAAAAUUAGUAUAAAAAAUACUACAAACUAAAAACAUUACUACAAACAUUUAUUUGAACAUAUUAUAUACAUAUUGUAUACUUACGGUACAGCAAUAGUUGACUGUUUUUCAAUCACCAUAAAUAAUAUUACACGUACAGUUGGUAUUGAUAUUAUAACUAUUUUUUUUUAUUCCGCCCAAAUAAUGCCUAUAGUAUUUUUUUACGAGACGCGUAUAUCCCAAAUUUACCCACUCACUGCUGUAAACAUUUUAAGUUAAACGAAUAUUUUUAAUAAGACCUAUUUUCGCGCAAUACACACGCAGCAUUCACAUUUAAUAUGAAGUAACUUUUACACACGAUUAAUAUAUUUAUACUAUAUAUAUAUAUUAUUAUGC
Molecule: RNA transcript, 1677 nt
Organism: Sipha flava (yellow sugarcane aphid)
Lineage: Eukaryota; Metazoa; Arthropoda; Insecta; Hemiptera; Aphididae
Gene name: annexin B9-like
Exons: 10
Source: RefSeq, a predicted model, not a curated record